AUUGAACGCUGGCGGCAUGCUUUACACAUGCAAGUCGAACGGUAACAGGCCGCCAGGUGCUGACGAGUGGCGAACGGGUGAGUAAUGCAUCGGAACGUGCCCAGUCGUGGGGGAUAACUACUCGAAAGAGUAGCUAAUACCUCAUACGAUCUAUGGAUGAAAGCGGGGGACCGUAAGGCCUCGCGCGAUUGGAGCGGCCGAUGUCAGAUUAGGUAGUUGGUGGGGUAAAGGCUCACCAAGCCAACGAUCUGUAGCUGGUCUGAGAGGACGACCAGCCACACUGGGACUGAGACACGGCCCAGACUCCUACGGGAGGCAGCAGUGGGGAAUUUUGGACAAUGGGCGCAAGCCUGAUCCAGCAAUGCCGCGUGCAGGAAGAAGGCCUUCGGGUUGUAAACUGCUUUUGUACGGAACGAAACGACUCUGGUUAAUACCCGGGGCUAAUGACGGUACCGUAAGAAUAAGCACCGGCUAACUACGUG
RNAcentral lists this ribosomal RNA (482 nucleotides) under uncultured bacterium. Its description in RNAcentral is "partial 16S ribosomal RNA". It matches the Rfam family "Bacterial small subunit ribosomal RNA", at positions 30 to 507 of the family's 1533-position model. The record is from RNAcentral.